UACGAAGGGGGCUAGCGUUGUUCGGAAUUACUGGGCGUAAAGCGCACGUAGGCGGGUUUGUAAGUAGAGGGUGAAAUCCCAGGGCUCAACCCUGGAACUGCCUUCUAGACUGCAAGCCUGGAGGUCAGGAGAGGCGAGUGGAAUACCGAGUGUAGAGGUGAAAUUCGUAGAUAUUCGGUGGAACACCAGUGGCGAAGGCGACUCGCUGGACUGAUACUGACGCUGAGGUGUGAAAGCGUGGGGAGUAAACAGG
This 253-nucleotide ribosomal RNA is filed under the name uncultured bacterium. RNAcentral's name for it is "partial 16S ribosomal RNA". It matches the Rfam family "Bacterial small subunit ribosomal RNA", at positions 524 to 776 of the family's 1533-position model. The record is from RNAcentral.